Molecule: ribosomal RNA, 253 nt
Filed under: uncultured bacterium
Lineage: Bacteria
Description: partial 16S ribosomal RNA
Rfam family: Bacterial small subunit ribosomal RNA
Source: RNAcentral
UACGUAGGGUGCAAGCGUUAAUCGGAAUUACUGGGCGUAAAGCGUGCGCAGGCGGUGAGCUGUGUCCGAUGUGAAAGCCCCGGGCUUAACCUGGGAAUGGCAUUGGAAACUGGCUUGCUGGAGUGCGGCAGAGGGGGGUGGAAUUCCGCGUGUAGCAGUGAAAUGCGUAGAGAUGCGGAGGAACACCGAUGGCGAAGGCAGCCCCCUGGGUCGACACUGACGCUCAGGCACGAAAGCGUGGGGAGCAAACAGG